Molecule: ribosomal RNA, 429 nt
Filed under: Chloroflexota bacterium
Lineage: Bacteria; Bacillati; Chloroflexota
Description: Chloroflexi bacterium partial 16S ribosomal RNA
Rfam family: Bacterial small subunit ribosomal RNA
Source: RNAcentral
UGGGGAAUAUUGCACAAUGGGCGCAAGCCUGAUGCAGCCAUGCCGCGUGUGUGAAGAAGGCCUUCGGGUUGUAAAGCACUUUCAGCGGGGAGGAAGGCGGUGAGGUUAAUAACCUCAUCGAUUGACGUUACCCGCAGAAGAAGCACCGGCUAACUCCGUGCCAGCAGCCGCGGUAAUACGGAGGGUGCAAGCGUUAAUCGGAAUUACUGGGCGUAAAGCGCACGCAGGCGGUUGAUUGAGUCAGAUGUGAAAUCCCCGGGCUUAACCCGGGAAUUGCAUCUGAUACUGGUCAGCUAGAGUCUUGUAGAGGGGGGUAGAAUUCCAUGUGUAGCGGUGAAAUGCGUAGAUAUAUGGAGGAACACCAGUGGCGAAGGCGGCUCUCUGGUCUGUAACUGACGCUGAGGCUCGAAAGCGUGGGGAGCAAACAGG